GAUGAACGCUGGCGGCGUGCCUAAUACAUGCAAGUCGAGCGAACAGACGAGGAUCUUGCUCCUCUGACUUUAGCGGCGGACGGGUGAGUAACACGUGGAUAACCUACCUAUAAUACUGGGAUAACUUCGGGAAACCGGAGCUAAUACCGGAUAAUAUAUUGAACCGCAUGGUUCAAUAUUUAAUUACGGUUUUGCUUUCUCUUAUAGAUUGAUCCGCGCCGCAUUAGCUAGUUGGUAAGGUAACGGCUUACCAAGGCAACGAUGCGUAGCCGACAUGAGAGGGUGAUAGGAAACACGGGAAGUGAGAAACGGAAAAGACUACGAAGGGAGGCAGCAGUAGGGAAACGUACGCAAGGGGCGAAAGCAUGACGGAGAAAGGAGGAGUGAGAGAUGAAGGUAUACGGAUCGUAAAAAUCUGUUAGGAGGGAAGAAAAAAUGUGUAAGUAACUAUGCACGGAUUGACGGUAACUAAUCAGAAAGCAACGGCUAACUACGUG
Molecule: ribosomal RNA, 497 nt
Filed under: uncultured bacterium
Lineage: Bacteria
Description: partial 16S ribosomal RNA
Rfam family: Bacterial small subunit ribosomal RNA
Source: RNAcentral